GUGGGGAAUCUUCCACAAUGGACGAAAGUCUGAUGGAGCAACGCCGCGUGAGUGAAGAAGGGUUUCGGCUCGUAAAGCUCUGUUGUCGGGGACGAAUGUGCAGUAUUUGAAUAAAGUACUGCAAUGACGGUACCUGACGAGGAAGCCACGGCUAACUACGUGCCAGCAGCCGCGGUAAUACGUAGGUGGCAAGCGUUGUCCGGAAUUAUUGGGCGUAAAGGGAGCGCAGGCGGGAAGGUAAGUCGGUCUUAAAAGUGCGGGGCUCAACCCCGUGAUGGGAUCGAAACUAUCUUUCUUGAGUGCAGGAGAGGAAAGUGGAAUUCCUAGUGUAGCGGUGAAAUGCGUAGAUAUUAGGAGGAACACCAGUGGCGAAGGCGGCUUUCUGGACGGUGUCUGACACUGAGGCGCGAAAGCCAGGGGAGCGAACGGGAUUAGAUACCCUGGUAGUCC
RNAcentral lists this ribosomal RNA (450 nucleotides) under uncultured bacterium. RNAcentral's name for it is "partial 16S ribosomal RNA". It matches the Rfam family "Bacterial small subunit ribosomal RNA", at positions 354 to 796 of the family's 1533-position model. The record is from RNAcentral.